Molecule: ribosomal RNA, 821 nt
Filed under: uncultured bacterium
Lineage: Bacteria
Description: bacterial SSU rRNA
Rfam family: Bacterial small subunit ribosomal RNA
Source: RNAcentral
GCGGUGGAAUGCNNAGAUAUCGGGAGGAACACCAGUGGCGAAGGCGGCCUACUGGGCACUAACUGACGCUGAGGCUCGAAAGCAUGGGUAGCAAACAGGAUUAGAUACCCUGGUAGUCCAUGCCGUAAACGAUGAUUACUAGGUGUGGGAGGAUUGACCCCUUCCGUGCCGCAGUUAACACAAUAAGUAAUCCACCUGGGGAGUACGACCGCAAGGUUGAAACUCAAAGGAAUUGACGGGGGCCCGCACAAGCAGUGGAGUAUGUGGUUUAAUUCGAAGCAACGCGAAAAACCUUACCAGGUCUUGACAUCCCGUGCAUAGCUAAGAGAUUAGUGAAGUCCUUCGGGACACGGAGACAGGUGGUGCAUGGUUGUCGUCAGCUCGUGUCGUGAGAUGUUGGGUUAAGUCCCGCAACGAGCGCAACCCUUAUCUUUAGUUACUACGCAAGAGGACUCUAGAGAGACUGCCGUUGACAAAACGGAGGAAGGUGGGGAUGACGUCAAAUCAUCAUGCCCUUUAUGACCUGGGCCACACACGUACUACAAUGGCAAUUAACAAAGAGAAGCGAAACCGCGAGGUGGAGCGAACCUCAUAAAAAUUGUCUCAGUUCGGAUCGCAGGCUGCAACCCGCCUGCGUGAAGCCGGAAUUGCUAGUAAUCGCGGAUCAGCAUGCCGCGGUGAAUACGUUCCCGGGCCUUGUACACACCGCCCGUCACACCAUGAGAGCCGGGGGGACCCGAAGUNNNNNNNCUAACCGCAAGGAGGACGCCGCCGAAGGUAAAACUGGUGAUUGGGGUGAAGUGGUAACAAGGUAGCCGUAA